This 503-nucleotide ribosomal RNA is filed under the name uncultured bacterium. Its description in RNAcentral is "partial 16S ribosomal RNA". It matches the Rfam family "Bacterial small subunit ribosomal RNA", at positions 32 to 523 of the family's 1533-position model. The record is from RNAcentral.
AUUCAACGCUGGCGCCAGGCAUAACACAUGCAAGUCGAGCGGGGUGAUGGUGCUUGCACUAUCACUUAGCGGCGGCCGGGUGAGAAAUGCUUAGGAAUCUACCUUUUAGUGGGGGACAACAUCUCGAAAGGGAUGCUAAUACCGCAUACGUCCUACGGGAGAAAGCAGGGGAUCACUUGUGACCUUGCGCUAAUAGAUGAGCCUAAGUCGGAUUCGCUAGUUGGUGGGGUAAAGGCCUACCAAGGCGACGAUCUGUAGCGGGUCUGAGAGGCCGAUCCGCCACACUGGGACUGAGACAAGGCCCAGCAUACUACGGGAGGAAGCAGUGGGGAACAUUGGACAAUGAUGGGAACCCUGAUCCAGCCAUGCCGCGUGUGUGAAGAAGGCAUUCUGGUUGUAAAGCACUUUAAGCGAAGAGGAGGCUCUUUUGGUUAAUACCCAAGAUGAGUGGACGUUACUCGCAGAAUAAGCACCGGCUAACUCUGUGCCAGCCGCCGCGGUAA